This 30-nucleotide non-coding RNA is filed under the name Bombyx mori (domestic silkworm). The record is from RNAcentral. Lineage: Eukaryota; Metazoa; Arthropoda; Insecta; Lepidoptera; Bombycidae.
CCAUGCUGGAUGCGCGCCUCUCUGGGCUGG